UACGGAGGGUGCAAGCAUUAAUCGGAAUUAUUGGGCGUAAAGGGCGCGUAGGCGGGUUUAUAAGUCAGAUGUGAAAUUCCGGAACUCAAUUCCGGAGCUGCAUUUGAAACUAUAAGUCUUGAGGGAUGGCGGAGAAAACGGAAUUCCACGUGUAGCGGUGAAAUGCGUAGAUAUGUGGAAGAACACCUGUGGCGAAAGCGGUUUUCUAGCUAUGACCUGACGCUGAGGCGCGAGAGCAAGGGGAGCAAACAGG
RNAcentral lists this ribosomal RNA (253 nucleotides) under uncultured bacterium. Its description in RNAcentral is "partial 16S ribosomal RNA". It matches the Rfam family "Bacterial small subunit ribosomal RNA", at positions 524 to 776 of the family's 1533-position model. The record is from RNAcentral.